RNAcentral lists this ribosomal RNA (910 nucleotides) under uncultured bacterium. RNAcentral describes it as "bacterial SSU rRNA". It matches the Rfam family "Bacterial small subunit ribosomal RNA", at positions 62 to 968 of the family's 1533-position model. The record is from RNAcentral.
UCGANCGGCAGCGCGGGGCAACCUGGCGGCGAGUGGCGAACGGGUGNGNNNNNUAUCGGAACGUGCCCUGGAGUGGGGGAUAACGCAGCGAAAGUUGCGCUAAUACCGCAUACGAUCUAAGGAUGAAAGCGGGGGAUUCGCAAGAACCUCGUGCUCCUGGAGCGGCCGAUAUCUGAUUAGCUAGUUGGUGGGGUAAAGGCCUACCAAGGCAUCGAUCAGUAGCUGGUCUGAGAGGACGACCAGCCACACUGGAACUGAGACACGGUCCAGACUCCUACGGGAGGCAGCAGUGGGGAAUUUUGGACAAUGGGCGAAAGCCUGAUCCAGCAAUGCCGCGUGAGUGAAGAAGGCCUUCGGGUUGUAAAGCUCUUUUGUCAGGGAAGAAACGGUGAAGGCUAAUAUCCUUUGCUAAUGACGGUACCUGAAGAAUAAGCACCGGCUAACUACGUGCCAGCAGCCGCGGUAAUACGUAGGGUGCAAGCGUUAAUCGGAAUUACUGGGCGUAAAGCGUGCGCAGGCGGUUUUGUAAGUCUGUCGUGAAAUCCCCGGGCUCAACCUGGGAAUUGCGAUGGAGACUGCAAGGCUAGAAUCUGGCAGAGGGGGGUAGAAUUCCACGUGUAGCAGUGAAAUGCGUAGAGAUGUGGAGGAACACCGAUGGCGAAGGCAGCCCCCUGGGUCAAGAUUGACGCUCAUGCACGAAAGCGUGGGGAACAAACAGGAUUAGAUACCCUGGUAGUCCACGCCCUAAACGAUGUCUACUAGUUGUCGGGUUUUAAUUAACUUGGUAACGCAGCUAACGCGUGAAGUAGACCGCCUGGGGAGUACGGUCGCAAGAUUAAAACUCAAAGGAAUUGACGGGGACCCGCACAAGCGGUGGNUGAUGUGGAUUAAUUCGAUGCAACGCGAAAAA